AACGAACGCUGGCGGCGUGCCUAACACAUGCAAGUCGAACGAGAAAGGGCUUCGGCUCCGAGUAAAGUGGCGCACGGGUGAGUAACACGUAGGUAACCUGCCUCUAAGAUUGGGAUAACUUGUCGAAAGACGAGCUAAUACCAAAUGAGACCACAGUCUCCUCGGGGACAGAGGUCAAAGGUAGCCUCUAUUAUAAGCUAUCGCUGAGAGAUGGGCCUGCGUACCAUUAGCUUGUUGGUGAGGUAACGGCUCACCAAGGCAAAGAUGGUUAGCUGGUC
This 278-nucleotide ribosomal RNA is filed under the name uncultured bacterium. RNAcentral describes it as "partial 16S ribosomal RNA". It matches the Rfam family "Bacterial small subunit ribosomal RNA", at positions 29 to 292 of the family's 1533-position model. The record is from RNAcentral.